UGGGGAAUAUUGCACAAUGGGCGAAAGCCUGAUCCAGCAAUGCCGCGUGUGUGAAGAAGGUCUUCGGAUUGUAAAGCACUUUCGACGGGGACGAUGAUGACGGUACCCGUAGAAGAAGCCCCGGCUAACUUCGUGCCAA
This 139-nucleotide ribosomal RNA is filed under the name uncultured bacterium. RNAcentral describes it as "partial 16S ribosomal RNA". It matches the Rfam family "Bacterial small subunit ribosomal RNA", at positions 355 to 511 of the family's 1533-position model. The record is from RNAcentral.